This 495-nucleotide ribosomal RNA is filed under the name uncultured bacterium. RNAcentral describes it as "partial 16S ribosomal RNA". It matches the Rfam family "Bacterial small subunit ribosomal RNA", at positions 28 to 507 of the family's 1533-position model. The record is from RNAcentral.
GAUGAACGCUGGCGGCGUGCCUAAUACAUGCAAGUAGAACGCUGAAGGAGGAGCUUGCUCUUCUGGAUGAGUUGCGAACGGGUGAGUAACGCGUAGGUAACCUGCCUGGUAGCGGGGGAUAACUAUUGGAAACGAUAGCUAAUACCGCAUGACAACAGUUAUUGCAUGAUAACUGUUUAAAAGGGGCAACUGCUCCACUACCAGAUGGACCUGCGUUGUAUUAGCUAGUUGGUGAGGUAACGGCUCACCAAGGCGACGAUACAUAGCCGACCUGAGAGGGGGAUCGGCCACACUGGGACUGAGACACGGCCCAGACUCCUACGGGAGGCAGCAGUAGGGAAUCUUCGGCAAUGGACGGAAGUCUGACCGAGCAACGCCGCGGGAGUGAAGAAGGUUGUCGGAUCGUAAAGCUAUGUUGUAAGAGAAGAACGAGUGUGAGAGUGGAAAGUUCACACUGUGACGGUAGCUUACCAGAAAGGGACGGCUAACUACGUG